AACGGACGCUGGCGGCAUGCCUAACACAUGCAAGUCGAACGAGACCUUCGGGUCUAGUGGCGCACGGGUGCGUAACGCGUGGGAACCUGCCCUUAGGUUCGGAAUAACUCCCCGAAAGGGGUGCUAAUACCGGAUAAUGUCUUCGGACCAAAGAUUUAUCGCCUUUGGAUGGGCCCGCGUUGGAUUAGCUAGUUGGUAGGGUAAAAGCCUACCAAGGCGACGAUCCAUAGCUGGUCUGAGAGGAUGAUCAGCCACACUGGGACUGAGACACGGCCCAGACUCCUACGGGAGGCAGCAGUGGGGAAUAUUGGACAAUGGGCGAAAGCCUGAUCCAGCAAUGCCGCGUGAGUGAUGAAGGCCUUAGGGUUGUAAAGCCCUUUUACCCGGGAUGAUAAUGACAGUACCGGGAGAAUAAGCUCCGGCUAACUCCGUG
RNAcentral lists this ribosomal RNA (433 nucleotides) under uncultured bacterium. RNAcentral's name for it is "partial 16S ribosomal RNA". It matches the Rfam family "Bacterial small subunit ribosomal RNA", at positions 29 to 507 of the family's 1533-position model. The record is from RNAcentral.